CUGAAUGGAAGGGCCAUCGCUCAACGGAUAAAAGGUACUCCGGGGAUAACAGGCUGAUACCGCCCAAGAGUUCAUAUCGACGGCGGUGUUUGGCACCUCGAUGUCGGCUCAUCACAUCCUGGGGCUGAAGUAGGUCCCAAGGGUAUGGCUGUUCGCCAUUUAAAGUGGUACGCGAGCUGGGUUUAGAACGUCGUGAGACAGUUCGGUCCCUAUCUGCCGUGGGCGCUGGAGAACUGAGGGGGGCUGCUCCUAGUACGAGAGGACCGGAGUGGACGCAUCACUGGUGUUCGGGUUGUCAUGCCAAUGGCACUGCCCGGUAGCUAAAUGCGGAAGAGAUAAGUGCUGAAAGCAUCUAAGCACGAAACUUGCCCCGAGAUG
Molecule: ribosomal RNA, 378 nt
Filed under: Escherichia coli
Lineage: Bacteria; Pseudomonadati; Pseudomonadota; Gammaproteobacteria; Enterobacterales; Enterobacteriaceae
Description: partial 23S ribosomal RNA
Rfam family: Bacterial large subunit ribosomal RNA
Source: RNAcentral